UACGUAGGGUGCGAGCGUUAAUCGGAAUUACUGGGCGUAAAGUGUGCGCAGGCGGCAGAGCAAGUCGAGUGUGAAAGCCCCCGGCUCAACUGGGGAGGGUCAUUCGAUACUGAUCGACUCGAAGGCAGGAGAGGGUAGUGGAAUUCCUGGUGUAGCGGUGGAAUGCGCAGAUAUCAGGAGGAACACCGAUGGCGAAGGCAGUUCUCUGGGCCGUAACUGACGCUGAGGAGCGAAAGCGUGGGGAGCGAACAGG
RNAcentral lists this ribosomal RNA (253 nucleotides) under uncultured bacterium. Its description in RNAcentral is "partial 16S ribosomal RNA". It matches the Rfam family "Bacterial small subunit ribosomal RNA", at positions 524 to 776 of the family's 1533-position model. The record is from RNAcentral.